AUAAGAGGUCCAGCCUGCCCAGUGACUUUGUUCAACGGCCGCGGUAUCCUAACCGUGCGAAGGUAGCGUAAUCACUUGUUCUUUAAAUGAGGACUAGUAUGAAUGGCACCACGAAGGUUAUACUGUCUCCUUUUUCUAAUCAGUGAAACUAAUCUUCCCGUGAAGAAGCGGGAAUAAACAUAUAAGACGAGAAGACCCUAUGGAGCUUUAAACAAACAUACAAUUGCCUUCAACAAAAAAAAUUCCAGAAGAAAAACCUUUAUUUAGGCAUCCUGUCAUGACGUUUUAGGUUGGGGUGACCACGGAGUAAAAUUUAACCUCCGCAAUGAACGGGGCUUUCCCCUAAGAUAAGAGCUACGACUCUAAUAAUCAACAAAUUGACACCAAUUGACCCAAUACACUUGAUCAAUGAACCAAGUUACCCUAGGGAUAACAGCGCAAUCCACUUCAAGAGCCCCUAUCGACAAGUGGGUUUACGACCUCGAUGUUGGAUCAGGGUAUCCUAGUGGUGCAGCCGCUACUGAUGGUUCGUUUGUUCAACGAUUAAAACCCUACGUGAUCUGAGUUCAGACCGGAGUAAUCCAGGUCAGUUUCUAUCUAUAAAGAGCUUUUUCUAGUACGAAAGGACCGAAAAAGCACGGCCUAUACCUAACGCAAGCCGUAGCAACCAAUUUAUGACACAGC
RNAcentral lists this ribosomal RNA (684 nucleotides) under Leptodactylus bufonius (Vizcacheras' white-lipped frog). RNAcentral describes it as "partial 16S ribosomal RNA". It matches the Rfam family "Bacterial large subunit ribosomal RNA", at positions 1845 to 2754 of the family's 2925-position model. The record is from RNAcentral. Lineage: Eukaryota; Metazoa; Chordata; Amphibia; Anura; Leptodactylidae.